RNAcentral lists this ribosomal RNA (811 nucleotides) under uncultured archaeon. RNAcentral describes it as "bacterial SSU rRNA". It matches the Rfam family "Archaeal small subunit ribosomal RNA", at positions 32 to 848 of the family's 1478-position model. The record is from RNAcentral.
AUUGGGAUUCGACUAAGCCAUGCGAGUCGAGAGGGUUCGGCCCUCGGCAGACUGCUCAGUAACAUGUGGAUAACCUAACCUUAGGUGGAGAAUAACCUCGGGAAACUGAGAAUAAUACUCCAUAGAUCUAGGAUGCUGGAAUGCAUCUAGGUUGAAAGUUGCGGCGCCUAAGGAUGGGUCUGCGGACUAUCAGGUUGUAGUCAGGGUAAUGACCUGACUAGCCUACGACGGAUAUGGGUUGUGAGAGCAAUAGCCCAGAGACGAUAUCUGAGACACGAUAUCGGGCCCUACGGGGCGCAGCAGGCGCGAAAUCUUCACAAUGUGCGAGAGCACGAUGAGGGAAUCCCAAGUGCUGGCACGUAAGUGUCAGCUGUUUUCUAGUCUAAAAAACUAGGAGAGUAAGAGCUGGGUAAGACGGGUGCCAGCCGCCGCGGUAAUACCUGCAGCUCAAGUGGUGGCCGCUAUUAUUGGGCCUAAAACGUCCGUAGCCGGUUUAGUAAAUGCUUGGGUAAAUUGUGUAGCUUAACUAUACGAAUACCGAGUAGACUGCUAGACUUGGGACCGGGAGAGGCUAGAGGUACUCCUGGGGUAGAGGUGAAAUUCUGUAAUCCUAGGGGGACCACCAGUGGCGAAGGCGUCUAGCUAGAACGGGUCUGACGGUGAGGGACGAAGCCCUGGGGCGCAAACCGGAUUAGAUACCCGGGUAGUCCAGGGUGUAAACGCUGCUUGCUUGAUGUUAGUUGGGCUCCGAGCCCCACUAGUGUCGGAGAGAAGUUGUUAAGCAAGCUGCCUGGGAAGUACGGUCGCAAGA